RNAcentral lists this ribosomal RNA (250 nucleotides) under uncultured Faecalibacterium sp. RNAcentral describes it as "partial 16S ribosomal RNA". It matches the Rfam family "Bacterial small subunit ribosomal RNA", at positions 91 to 339 of the family's 1533-position model. The record is from RNAcentral. Lineage: Bacteria; Bacillati; Bacillota; Clostridia; Eubacteriales; Oscillospiraceae.
UCGAGUGGCAAACGGGUGAGUAACGCGUAAGCAACCUGCCCUUCAGAUGGGGACAACAGUUGGAAACGACUGCUAAUACCGCAUAAGCCCACGGCUCGGCAUCGAGCAGGGGGAAAAGGAGCAAUCCGCUUUGAGAUGGCCUCGCGUCCGAUUAGCUAGUUGGUGAGGUAAUGGCCCACCAAGGCGACGAUCGGUAGCCGGACUGAGAGGUUGAACGGCCACAUUGGGACUGAGACACGGCCCAGACUCC